AUACCAUCACAAAUGGCGCCAUAAAUGUCUGAAGCAAACAAAAUUGUACAUACAAAUCUGAUGGUAAAUUUAAUCGAUUGAUUUCAAUUUAGCAAAAUUCCGCCGUUUUCUUUACCGUCGCGCCUACUUUUAAUGCAAGUAACUAUAGUUUAAGCUCCGAUAGCUUUAGCAAUACUGUGUCAAUGAAGAGAGAAAAUAAGACACGAAAGAGCCUCUAGGUGUAGAUCAUUGGUAUGAUAAAGGAAAUGAAACAUAUAAGACAGAUCUUUAUCGAUCGUAGUCAGUGAAAUGAAAAUGGAGGACCGCUCAGAUGAAUUCAAAAUAAGCUAGUAAAACCUGACGGAUGUUCAUGAUGGCGUUCGAGGGGAAGUCGUAUCAAAUCUUUCAAUAAGAUCUCAUUAUUAGUGGUUCGUUUUUUUAUUACAUUUUAGAUUAUUUUCCCUGAAAAUGUGCGAGCGUGGAAGAAGGAAGGAGGUUGCACAGAAACAAGGUAUGCUCUUAAAGCCGCUAUAUAAAACCGGUUCAGUUAAGUUGGGCAAGUGUGAUAGGAAAAAACGGUUUUAAAUAAUAGAUUAUCAAAAUGGCGGCAGCUUAGAUGCUCACAUCCACACAGCAACACUCGUUUCGUUUCAAUGAGUUUACAUUCGUAAUAUUUUGCACAGAAUGGUGGAAUAUCGCAAAUGUGAACAAUAAGAUAACGUUUUUCUAAACGAUGGCACUUUCCUAUAGACAAAAAAUAACGUUUAAAUGCCAUGUGGGACAGGUGUACAGGUUUUUUGCUUUAACACAGGAUACAGUCAUAAUGAUAGUUGCGAUUCAUUGUAUCGUACCCUCAUCCGUUCCAUGCAUCUAUGUACAUUAACAACAAUCUUGAGAAAGGAUGAUAUACAGUAUAAAUGAUAACAUAGAGAUGAUUACGAUUAAUGCGCUUUUAAACAGGAGAGCUAAAUGAAUUGAAACAUAGAGAGGAAGGAAUGAACAAAACACCGAACCCUGUACGGCACGGUACGCGGCGUUAAGAAAGGUUAGAAAGCGCAAAAGUAAAACUCUAGCAAACGUGUUCAACGAUUACGUGUUAAGAUUAAGUAGAAGCAAUAAGAUUCUUGAUGGAACCCGGAAAUCGCACCACAAAAGCAACUCCAGCUGCAACCGAUUAGCCGAUUGACUAAGACAACCGUUUCCGGUGGAUCCCGCUAUGGAAAAUGGAAAAUGGAAGAAAGAAGCUGACAGUGUAAAGGAAAAAUUUAAAGAAAAUUAUGCUUUUAAAAGUUAAAAGUGUCCCAUAUGUGCUAUCUGUUUAUGAGUUUCUGUGUUUAGUGAAAUUUACAAUCCUAUGUUUGGUUUCCAAUUAAGACUCCAAACAAUGACACUAAGAGGUUUAGACCGUGUGGCGAUAUCUGACAAUUGUGACUAAAUGGAGUUCACUAAACCAGAAAUGUUAAGUACUGAAGACCUCUCUUCAACAGUCUGAAUAAUGGGGAUCUGUUACCUAAGAGUAUGUUACGCGAAUGUUCUCUUUAAAUAGUUUUCGGUGAGUGUAAACGAGUGAUGUGACGAAAAUUUUGCAACGUCAUAAACUAUCCAGAAAUGAUUGAAGAAAUGAUCCUGAAGUGGGACAAGAAAAAUCUUUAUUUUGUGCGUUGCAGCUGAUGCGAACGUGAGGUUGAGCAAUUUGCUCUCUCUCUCCCUCAACGAAAAGGUAUAACUAAGCUCUACGGUUAACAUAGACAAGCACACUCCACACCUGAGAUGAUCCCUGAAGGCUGACAAUGUGUGGUAAGGCAGCGUGGUAUAAGCACUGAUCUAGUUGUAAAGGGAAAAAAACUCAAAAAACGGAGCGUUAGAAUGGAGUGGUAGGUGAAAUUACACAGCCACGUGAUAAUAUUCACGCGCCAGUAGGUUUUUAAGGAUGUGUAUAUUUGGUAAGGUUCGAUUACGGUAGAAAGAUUUUUUUUUGCAAUGCUCCAACAUUAAAAGAAUAUUGUAGACAAAUGCAAGGUAAUGUAAGAAUGAUCUAGAAGCUGAUAAGAGAAAGGAGAAGCGAGAGAGAGAGAAAGAGAGACACAUACAUAAAUAGAAGAAAACAAAAAGAAAACAUUUUUUAUUGUUUGGUUUUUAAGUUCAUAUCACUUCUAAUAUCGAAACAUAUGAUCGUCGUUGAGGAAUGUAAUUGCGUUAUGUGCCUAACGCUCUUCACCAAGCCACACUCAGGCAAAAUGAUGGAAAAAUGAUGUUGUGUAGCUUUCGUGUAUGUAACAGAUGCAAAAAUCUCCAUUUAUACGGUGCGGAUAAGCGAAAACCCCGGGCAAAAGAAGAAUGAGCAGAGUGUGCGAUGUUAAACCUCGAGUGGAACACAAAUAGUAGAAAUAUAACUAUAUUAAACAAGCAUGUAUUACGCUUCGAACCAACUAGAAAUGGAAAGUUCAUGUGGGUGAAUCAUUACCUUCAGGAAACGCAAGUUAUUACUACAUAAAGACGUAUAAAGAGUAAAACCGCAACACGUCUAAAGUACCAUGGGUGUAAAACUAAGUAUGUGUUUAUAUGCGUGUAUGUUAAAAAUUUGCUUGUAUAACACAAUAGAAAAGCACCUACAACACUGUAGACAUGAAUAUUCGAAAGUAUUUGCUUGUGUGAAACAUUUCAAGUGUAUUAGCAAUGGUUUCCUUUUUUGAUAUGUAUUUGGGAGGGGAAAAAUGUAUGUCCUGACGGUUAUUAUAACAAAACAAACAAACGAUUGGAAACUGUUUCCUUUGAAAGCUAAUAUACUACCACACAAACGCAUACAGUUGCUGGCUUUAACGUAGUUUGCUUCUGUCACGAAUCAAUGUGAAUGUAAAUGCGCGGUGAACAAAAAUCGAUUGUUUCGUCAUUUUGUAGCGAAAGGCACAAGAACAUAAACAAAAAUCUUAUAAAUGCAGGUCAUUUAAAGAACAACCGUAACAGAUAAAAAUAUAUAUCUGCCAUAAUGGAAGGAUCAUAAUAGAUUAGGUAUGAAGCGGUAUAAGGCGCAUAACAUUAUGAAAGUAAAAAAAUCACUUCCAAAUAAAUGCGUGUGGUAAAAGUUUACACACUCCAGCCAUACGCAUUGACGUCGUUGUCGUUGACACUUUCCAUUUUGGGCAAUUAUUACACUGUCGUAACACACACACGCAUACAUCCCUUGUACCAGAAAGAUGCAUUUAGCAGCAGCAUUUCACUUUAAAUGCCAUAUCCAUCGUCCUGUAUUUGUCGUUGGACAGGGGAAAGAGUGGAAAACAAAAUCAUACAAUAAUUAACGUUUAAGUGAAGCAAAAUAUUUUAAGGAUGCUGAUUGUGGUGGCGGCAAAACCAUAUGUGUAUGCGCACGGUAAACAUUUCAAGUGUAUCGUAACCGUUAAUAAUCACUUUCCGGUGUGAAGUAAUUGAAAGCCCAAAUUAUACGAACUGUCUGCUUGUGUGAUAUUGUCGUUUGUUUGAGUGAUAAAUACGAAUGAAUCCGUUUUGUCCAGUUUCGUCGAGCAGUCGAUAAAAAAAACACACACAAAAAGGAUCAAAGUUUAAGCAUAAAUUUAAAAUAAUUGUAUGAAAUUAUAAUACCACGAAUGGAAAUUUGACAACAUUAGUUUAGUCAAGCAAAACCAAACAUCAUAUAACGUUGUUCUUGCACAAGCAAAAUAUAACACAAGCGUACGUGUAAUCAGCAAAAGAAAAUGAGUUUUAUAUCAUAGUGGAAAUUAUCGUACGGGCUCACUAUAAUCAAGCCAGCAAGAGUCGACUAAAGUCUUUGCCAAACGCUCACUUUGUCAACGUUGCUCCUAUAUGUUACUGGCGUAGAACUUGUACUCACCCUUAGUCUUCACGGUAGUGUGCUUCGGUCUUCCGACAUUUGCGCUACUGUUCAACGUCACUCAAACAAACAGGGGCAGCUCAGGAAAGCUGCCCAACGAUCGUAUUCCGAAUGUGUUACGUUGCAUCUUUUUCCUUUUCCUAAAGCAAAUGAACAAUCUUAUUGAUCGUAAUUCUUACACUUAAACUGCCUGUUUGAAUUUGUCUCUAUCACAAACACAUACACAAUCCAUCAACAAAACCGUUUGCUUUCGAAUAUGCAAUAACAAUCACAGUAUGGUCCAGGAUAUAUACAUUCCCUAAAGUUUACCAAAAGCAAGCAAAGGUAGAAUAAAUAAAUUUUCUUUUAACGGAAACCAUUUUGACAAAAUAACAAAAACUCCCAUGCAAAAGGCGGAAGCAAAACAAAGGAACACUUUCGGUUUCAGCAACAACCAAAGCAGCAAGCCAGGUAGUGCGAACACAGGUUUACAGAUAAAAAAUGUAGGAAAUUAACAGAACAUAGGUGUAAUAAGUAAGUAGAUAAAACCAACAGUAAAACCACGGUAUCGUUGGUAAAUGAACCGUUCGGUUUGAAGCGCAAUAUUAUACACAACAAAAGGCAAACAUACAUGAGUUUCAGACUUCUUCCAUCUUGUUUGUGUGUAUGCUUGGGAAACGAUUUUUCGUUAAUCAAAUUGCAGUUGACGAUAAAAGGCGUAAAGGCGUGAUCAUAUUUGGAGCAUUUGAAAAAAAAAACACAAUAACAAAAAAGGCAGGAAACCAAACCUGUAUUUGUACUAUGUAAAUAGCAAAUUGUGAUUGUUGAUCAUUAUGUAAAGGAACAUGAUCCCGUAGUAUCCCAGUGGCAAGUUAGACAGGCGCAAACGAAACGAACCUUAAUAUUUGUCCAAAUACAUUGACCUCUGUAAACAAAAAAGGAAAGGAGAAAAUCGAUUUGGAAACAUUGUGAAGUACGCUCAGCGCGAAGAACGAAUCGAGGUGUUUAGCAGAAGUAGAAUGGCUGUUAAGAAAGGCAAUUUUAUAUGCAAAGAUUUGUAAAUCUUGAAUGGAUAAAAUGAUGGUAAAAUCGUAAGUAAACCGAACUGGAAACUGAAACUAGGACACGCAUCUGGAAUAACUCAUGACAGGCCAACGAAAUCGAAGUAAAAUUUAACACAAUAACACAACACAAACAUAACACAAUCAACACAUUUGUAUUCGCAUCGUAAACAUCGUAUCAGUGUAUAUAUUUGUAUAGUGAAAAAUAGUGAUAUAGCAAGUGAGAGAGAAAGCUGGAAUUAAAACAGUUUGAAAAAAGCACACAAAAACCAGUGCGAAAGUGUGUGAUGCAGAAUACAAUACACUAAAUCACACAACACACACGUAUGCAAACUAUCAGUGACACGUAAGUGAAACGAAUGGAGGGAAGGAAAAGUUUGCACACAGAACAACAUUCGUAUGUAUCAAACAAAAAAAAUAUAUAUACACAAGAAAAUAUAUACAUAAAUUGAACAGUGAUUGUACAAAAUGUAGAA
Long non-coding RNA from Anopheles funestus (African malaria mosquito), 5342 nucleotides. RefSeq lists it as uncharacterized. The record is from RefSeq and is a predicted model, not a curated record. Lineage: Eukaryota; Metazoa; Arthropoda; Insecta; Diptera; Culicidae. The transcript is spliced from 2 exons.